UACAGAGGUCUCAAGCGUUGUUCGGAUUCAUUGGGCGUAAAGGGUGCGUAGGUGGCGCUGUAAGUCAGGUGUGAAAUUUCGGAGCUCAACUCCGAAACUGCAUUUGAUACUGCGGUGCUUGAGGACUGGAGAGGAGACUGGAAUUCACGGUGUAGCAGUGAAAUGCGUAGAUAUCGUGAGGAAGACCAGUGGCGAAGGCGGGUCUCUGGACAGUUCCUGACACUGAGGCACGAAGGCCAGGGGAGCAAACGGG
RNAcentral lists this ribosomal RNA (253 nucleotides) under uncultured bacterium. RNAcentral describes it as "partial 16S ribosomal RNA". It matches the Rfam family "Bacterial small subunit ribosomal RNA", at positions 524 to 776 of the family's 1533-position model. The record is from RNAcentral.